CGAUGUUAAUAUUCAGCUUUUAAACCAAAGCAUGGGAUUAUAGGAUUAUAUCUCAUUUAUGUGUUGCAAGAACACACAGGAUACACAUUGUUUACCAGUAGAGGAAUACAUUACAGGGAAAUGUGUAAGAUGGUAAAAAAAAAUCAAUUAUGUAAUCACUGUAAAUUACAAGGUUUGUUAAAAUAACAAACGUAUUGGCAUGUGUCUAUAAUGCGUGUAUCCACAUACAGUUAACAGAAAGCAUAGCAGUCAUCUCAAAUAGCAUGUCAAUAGGAUCCUGUUAUGCAUAGCAAAAGUUUAGCAAAAACGGGGGGGGGGGAGGGAGGUUCAGCUCGUAAAGCAAGCUGUAGAUCCCCAGAUGUUUUAAACCAACAGCUUCCAUGAUGCUUUGUCAUUCUAGAGGCAUUCCAAAGGCAUGCAAAACAUCAAACGAUUACUAGAAUUGAACACAAUAAAUAAUAAAAGUACAUGUGGCACAAAUGUUUAAAUAAAUAUCUAAAAUAAUGCCUUAUGAC
This is a non-coding RNA of Pelobates cultripes (western spadefoot toad), 515 nucleotides long. The record is from the annotation of a GenBank genome assembly. Lineage: Eukaryota; Metazoa; Chordata; Amphibia; Anura; Pelobatidae.